CCAGUGAUAGCGAUGGUGCUGUGGCUCCGCAGCCACGCACCACUACCAAGACUGGGCGCAAUGUAAAGUUCAGCUAUGCUGAAAACAUGGCGUUGGUGCGGGAGCUGAUGAGGCAUCAUCGCCAAUUGUUUGGGCAGGAUGCUGCCAAGGUGUCCUCCCGCAGGAAGUCUGUCCUGUGGGGGAAAGUUAUCCAGGCAGUUAAUAGUGAGGGUGUGGUGAGGCGGACUGAGGACAUGUGUCGCAAAAGGUUUUACGACAUCAAGCGCCGUGUCAAGGCCAAGAUGGCCAAGGAGGAGCCUGUGAUUGGGAGGAGCCUGUGCGGGCACUGAUUCCUGCAGAAGUGGUGUCUGCAACUCAUGUCCGGGAUUCGGACCGUCCAAGGCAGGAUGUACGCCAGACCAGCGCUCCAGACAGGCCACUGCCAACUGAUGUGGGUGCUGGGUUUGCAGGUUCUUCUUCUGCAAGCCGCCCUCUAAGGCGCCCAUCACAGGGCUCGGGUAACUUACCGAGGAGGCCAAGUAAGACGCGCCGUGUGGAUUUGGAUUCAGCGGAUCCAUCUUCCCCACCCAGGCGGCGCAUCUCUGCAGUCUUGUCCCAGCCACCACAGGCACUAUUGGCUAGUCCCCAAAGUGAUGAGCCCCGAUCACCUCAGUUAUCUGAACCAACCUUCAUGGCCGACGUGGACCAGCAGGAACCAGACCAACAGGCCACCUAUACACUGCAACUAACACCAGUUGUUGAGAGAGACCCAGGCAACCCAGCCGCAGGAUAUCCCCCAACCCUCCAUUAGUCCCCAACUGCUCCAAGCUCCACCCCAGCAACAAAUGUCCGCGGACUUUUGGUCCAGUUUGGCAACCCAACAGAGCCAAAACACUGCCUGCCUGAACGCCCACACCCAACACCUUGCCAGUCUCCCCAAUCAUCUUCCGCGCAUUAGCAGGAACUCGGGCAGACUGAUUGUCCAGGUAGGCAGAAUUGCCACUUCUAUGGAACAAAUCCGGACCGACAACACUCAAAUGCUGGCUAAUUUAACGCGCAUAAUUGAUGAGCAACAGCGCCAGCAGCAAGCACUCAUCCAACUGGUCCAACACAAUCAGGUGGUAAAUGAGUCAUUGUCGAGGAUUGUGGCCAGCCACACUGCAAGUAACAACCAACUGAAUGCCAGCAUCCACAAUUUAAGCCAAAGCAUCACUUUGAUGGCAGCACAACAAGUGACCUCCAGCUCAGGAACCACGACCCCUAGCCAAACCCCAGUAACCUCCCCUGUUCGUAGAUCCUCCCGAGCACGUGCCAGCGACCCAGCACAAAGCACGGCACCCAGCACACACAAGAAAA
Long non-coding RNA from Pseudophryne corroboree (corroboree frog), 1335 nucleotides. RefSeq lists it as uncharacterized. The record is from RefSeq and is a predicted model, not a curated record. The transcript is spliced from 4 exons. NCBI's taxonomy places the organism in Eukaryota, Metazoa, Chordata, Amphibia, Anura, Myobatrachidae.